RNAcentral lists this small RNA (75 nucleotides) under Xanthomonas axonopodis pv. poinsettiicola. RNAcentral describes it as "sX9 sRNA". It matches the Rfam family "Xanthomonas sRNA sX9". Lineage: Bacteria; Pseudomonadati; Pseudomonadota; Gammaproteobacteria; Lysobacterales; Lysobacteraceae. The record is from RNAcentral. RNAcentral also lists the same sequence under 10 other names.
AUGUACCACUCGUACACUCCGGUCCUGUGCGCCGUCCGCACCCACCUGACGACUGCUCGCUACGUUUUGUUCGCC